Molecule: ribosomal RNA, 393 nt
Filed under: uncultured bacterium
Lineage: Bacteria
Description: partial 16S ribosomal RNA
Rfam family: Bacterial small subunit ribosomal RNA
Source: RNAcentral
ACACGUAGGUGGCGAGCGUUGUUCGGAUUUAUUGGGCGUAAAGGGCGCGUAGGCGGAGGCUCAAGCUUGGUGUAAAAUACCCCGGCUCAACUGGGGAGAUGCGCUGAGAACUGAGCCACUAGAGUCCAGGAGGGGGAGCCGGAAUUCCAGGUGUAGGGGUGAAAUCUGUAGAUAUCUGGAAGAACACCGGUGGCGAAGGCGGGCGCCUGGCCAUGCACUGACGCUGAGGCGCGAAAGUGUGGGGAGCGAACAGGAUUAGAUACCCUGGUAGUCCACACCGUAAACGAUGUACACUAGGUGUCCGGGAGAAAUCCUGGGUACCGGAGCCAACGCAUUAAGUGUACCGCCUGGGGAGUAUGCCCGCAAGGGUGAAACUCAAAGGAAUUGACGGGG